AUUAAUCUGACAUAUUCAUCAUUCCAUCAUAAACUGCUAAGUCAUAUAUCAUAACUUAGAAUCGAAAUAAUAUUGAACAUUGCCCCUCAUACUGGCAUACCAAACAAGUGUAUAUACACUGUUUACAACAUGUAUCUUAAUAAUUCACAUUAGGUUCAUCUAUACAUAACAAAAGAAGACUCGAUGUCCAGCGGAGAAACUUGACGAAUGUACAGCUACUAAAUGCCGAGACACCUACCAAUAGUCGAGUCUACAAA
RNAcentral lists this long non-coding RNA (257 nucleotides) under Theobroma cacao (cacao). RNAcentral's name for it is "long non-coding RNA (TCAC_LNC001837)". The record is from RNAcentral. Lineage: Eukaryota; Viridiplantae; Streptophyta; Magnoliopsida; Malvales; Malvaceae.